UACGUAGGGUGCAAGCGUUGUCCGGAAUUAUUGGGCGUAAAGAGCUCGUAGGCGGUUCGUCGCGUCGGCUGUGAAAUCCCGAGGCUCAACCUCGGGUCUGCAGUCGAUACGGGCGGACUGGAGUUCGGCAGGGGAGACUGGAAUUCCUGGUGUAGCGGUGAAAUGCGCAGAUAUCAGGAGGAACACCGGUGGCGAAGGCGGGUCUCUGGGCCGAUGACUGACGCUGAGGAGCGAAAGCGUGGGGAGCGAACAGG
RNAcentral lists this ribosomal RNA (254 nucleotides) under uncultured bacterium. RNAcentral's name for it is "partial 16S ribosomal RNA". It matches the Rfam family "Bacterial small subunit ribosomal RNA", at positions 524 to 776 of the family's 1533-position model. The record is from RNAcentral.